RNAcentral lists this ribosomal RNA (492 nucleotides) under uncultured bacterium. Its description in RNAcentral is "partial 16S ribosomal RNA". It matches the Rfam family "Bacterial small subunit ribosomal RNA", at positions 29 to 507 of the family's 1533-position model. The record is from RNAcentral.
AGUGAACGCUGGCGGUAGGCCUAACACAUGCAAGUCGAACGGCAGCACAGUAAGAGCUUGCUCUUACGGGUGGCGAGUGGCGGACGGGUGAGGAAUACAUCGGAAUCUACUUUUUCGUGGGGGAUAACGUAGGGAAACUUACGCUAAUACCGCAUACGACCUACGGGUGAAAGCAGGGGAUCUUCGGACCUUGCGCGAUUGAAUGAGCCGAUGUCGGAUUAGCUAGUUGGCGGGGUAAAGGCCCACCAAGGCGACGAUCCGUAGCUGGUCUGAGAGGAUGAUCAGCCACACUGGAACUGAGACACGGACCAGACUACUACGGGAGGCAGCAGUGGGGAAUAUUGGACAAUGGGCGCAAGCAUGAUCCAGCCAUACCGCGUGGGUGAAGAAGGCCUUCGGGUUGUAAAGCCCUUUUGUUGGGAAAGAAAAGCAGCAGGUUAAUACCCCGCUGUUCUGACGGUACCCAAAGAAUAAGCACCGGCUAACUUCGUG